Molecule: transfer RNA, 72 nt
Filed under: Camelus bactrianus (Bactrian camel)
Lineage: Eukaryota; Metazoa; Chordata; Mammalia; Artiodactyla; Camelidae
Also listed under: 2 other names
Rfam family: tRNA
About the family: Transfer RNA (tRNA) molecules are approximately 80 nucleotides in length. Their secondary structure includes four short double-helical elements and three loops (D, anti-codon, and T loops).
Source: Rfam by way of RNAcentral
GAGAGUAGAGCUCAGUGGUAGAGUACAUGAUUAGCAUGCACAAGGUCCUGGGUUAAAUCCCCAGUACCUCCA